This 549-nucleotide ribosomal RNA is filed under the name uncultured bacterium. RNAcentral's name for it is "bacterial SSU rRNA". It matches the Rfam family "Bacterial small subunit ribosomal RNA", at positions 355 to 896 of the family's 1533-position model. The record is from RNAcentral.
UGGGGAAUAUUGGACAAUGGGCGAAAGCCUGAUCCAGCCAUGCCGCGUGUGUGAAGAAGGCCUUUUGGUUGUAAAGCACUUUAAGUGGGGAGGAAAAGCUUAUGGUUAAUACCCAUAAGCCCUGACGUUACCCACAGAAUAAGCACCGGCUAACUCUGUGCCAGCAGCCGCGGUAAUACAGAGGGUGCAAGCGUUAAUCGGAAUUACUGGGCGUAAAGCGCGCGUAGGUGGUUAUUUAAGUCAGAUGUGAAAGCCCCGGGCUUAACCUGGGAACUGCAUCUGAUACUGGAUAACUAGAGUAGGUGAGAGGGGAGUAGAAUUCCAGGUGUAGCGGUGAAAUGCGUAGAGAUCUGGAGGAAUACCGAUGGCGAAGGCAGCUCCCUAGCAUCAUACUGACACUGAGGUGCGAAAGCGUGGGUAGCAAACAGGAUUAGAUACCCUGGUAGUCCACGCCGUAAACGAUGUCUACCAGUCGUUGGGUCUUUUAAAGACUUAGUGACGCAGUUAACGCAAUAAGUAGACCGCCUGGGGAGUACGGCCGCAAGGUUA